UAGUUUGAUCCUGACUCAGAACGAACGCUGGCGGCGUGCCUAACACAUGCAAGUCCAACGUGAAAGGGGAGCAAUCCCCCGGUAGGGUGGCAAACGGGUGAGUAAUACAUGGGUGAUCUACCUUAGGGAUGGGGAUAUCCUUCCGAAAGGAGGGGCAAUACCGAAUAUUGUCCGGAGCCGUGAAGGGUUCCGGGGAAAGGGAGGCCUCUGAUACAAGCUUUCGCCUUAAGAUGAGCCCAUGGCCCAUCAGCUAGUUGGUAGGGUAAAGGCCUACCAAGGCUACGACGGGUCGCUGGUCUGAGAGGACGACCAGCCACACUGGCACUGAGAUACGGGCCAGACUCCUACGGGAGGCAGCAGUGAGGAAUAUUGCGCAAUGGGGGAAACCCUGACGCAGCAACGCCGCGUGUGGGAAGAAGGCCUUCGGGUCGUAAACCACUUUUGCACGGGACGAAAAAGGGAUAUCGAACAAAUAUCCCCGAUGACGGUACCGUGAGAAUAAGCCACGGCUAACUCUGUGCCAGCAGCCGCGGUAAGACAGAGGUGGCAAGCGUUGUUCGGAAUUACUGGGCGUAAAGAGUCUGUAGGUGGUUUGUCAAGUCUUUGGUGAAAGGCCGUAGCUUAACUAUGGGAAUGCCAAAGAGACUGGCAGGCUGGAGGCUGGGAGAGGGAAGCGGAAUUUCUGGUGUAGCGGUGAAAUGCGUAGAUAUCAGAAGGAAGGCCGGUGGCGAAGGCGGCUUCCUGGAACA
This 749-nucleotide ribosomal RNA is filed under the name uncultured bacterium. Its description in RNAcentral is "bacterial SSU rRNA". It matches the Rfam family "Bacterial small subunit ribosomal RNA", at positions 9 to 736 of the family's 1533-position model. The record is from RNAcentral.